RNAcentral lists this long non-coding RNA (507 nucleotides) under Physcomitrium patens. RNAcentral's name for it is "long non-coding RNA (PPAT_LNC003350)". Lineage: Eukaryota; Viridiplantae; Streptophyta; Bryopsida; Funariales; Funariaceae. The record is from RNAcentral.
GUGAAACUAAGAAAUUGUAGCUAAAAAAUAUGAAUAUUAAGGUUAGAGAAGGAGAGCAAUUAACCUUCAAGCAAAGCUUUGAAAUUAUCAUCUAUAUGGUAAGUGAAAUCUUCUUCAAAUUAUUUGUACUUAUUGCUAAUUUAGUUUUUGCAAGGUAUAUAGAUUUUGAAUCAAAAUCAACAAUUCAAUCAUUAGUUAUUGAAUCUUUAAACUACUAAAAGAUUAUUAAGAGUUUGUUUAAGAUUUAGGAUCUGAUCAAGGAUUAAUUAGGAUUGAUUUAGGAUUAAGAUUUGAUUAGGAUUUAGGAUUUAUUAAAAAUUUAACUAGAUUUUUUUUAGGAAUUAUUAAAUUUUGAUUAGGAUUUGAUUAGGAUUUGAUUAGGAUUUGACCUAAGACUUGAUUAAGGUCUACUUAGGUUUUAAUUGAGGUUUGACUUAAGAUUUGAUUAAGAUCUACUUAGUUUUUAAUUAAGGUUUGAUUUAAGAUUUGAUUAAUAUUCAUUAAAAU